UUUUUAAAUGAUGAGGAGGGGACCAGUAAACAUCCUAUGUACAUGGAUGACCCACUGUCUCACUAGGCGAUGAAGCCAUCCACUGAGCACACAUCUAACAGCUAGACACUGUCGGCCUCUUGAUAUUUAAACUUCAUACGAUCUGUAUAAGAAAAUAUUUUUUAGAAGAUGCCUCGGUGUUUAGGAACAAGGAGACUUCUAGCAACUUUUUGGCCAUGAGUUGGAUACAACACAAGGUUACAAGAGAUCCAGAAGCCUGAUCAAGAUUCACAUGGAGGAGAAUAGACCCCAUCUUUCAAUGAGACUUCAGAGCACAGUACUCUCCACAAGGAUACCAAUGUCUACAAGGGUGCCACUGGCCCAGCACGGAAGUCACCAGGUCCAGCCUAUACUUAAGAGGAAGGCAUUAUACAAGGGAGUGAAUGCCAGGAGGCAAGAUUAUUGGGAGGCACAUCAGAAGCUGCCUGCGAAAACAGGGGUAUAUAGAAGCCCAAAUGAAACAGCUUUUAAUUCCAAAUGCAAAAUAAACAACAUGGAAAUAUAAGACAGCACAUUGAAAAGACCCAAGAGUCAAAGGAGGAAAUUUGUAUCCAGAGGUGUUCCAUGAAAUUGGAUGCUGAGAGAUAAGAAAAGGAAAAAAAAUGGAGAGUGAAGAAAGCAACAUUUUGAGAGCUGAGCAGGUUUUUUUUUUUUAUCAGAAAUAGUGUUUAUUGGACUCCCCUCCAUAAAAAAAAAUUGCUUAUGGAAAUAAGAUUAGUAUCUUUUCCCUUUGGUUCCCAGAACACCUAAAAAAGGAGAUGAGAGGGAAACAGGGGAGGAAGGAGAGAAAGAAGGACUUGGUGAGAACUGGGGAAAUCUUCAAGAAAGGUGGGGGGCAGGUCCAUGCUUUUGCUUCUCUGCUCUCCCUUCCAAUUCUAUAAUUGGCACAAGAAAGGAUUGCAGCCCUACUUUGGCUUAUCUCUCAUAUUCUUAAAUCCAUGCCUGUUCCUCAAGUAUUUAGUUAGGGAGGAAAGCUGUGAGUUGGUAAAGUCUGCUCCCCCACCACCUCUGGAAUUUUCCCCACGGAAAUAGGACACAAUAAAGUCAGACAAUGCGAGCAUUCACACCAGGGCAGCCAGGGAUGCCUUUGUUCUGGUGAACCAGAAUGAAGCUUAACUAAAUAUGCUGUGAAGCAACUUAAGCAAAGUGGAAAGAGAAAAUGAUUUCCCACUUCUAGAUAUAGCAAAAUACAUUAGCAAUAGCGCUUGGGUCUAAGCAGAUCCGAUGAGUUACAAAUGAUCAUUUUCAUUAUGGCCUAAUGAGAUCACGGUUGAAGUAAGUUAAUAACGAUUAAAGUUAAU
Molecule: long non-coding RNA, 1340 nt
Organism: Prionailurus viverrinus (fishing cat)
Lineage: Eukaryota; Metazoa; Chordata; Mammalia; Carnivora; Felidae
Exons: 6
Source: RefSeq, a predicted model, not a curated record